CCUACGGGUGGCAGCAGUCGAGAAUCAUUCACAAUGGGCGCAACCCUGAUGGUGCGACGCCGCGUGGAGGACUGAAGGUCUUCGGAUUGUAAACCCCUGUCAUGUGGGAGCAAAUUAAAAAGAUAGUACCACAAGAGGAAGAGACGGCUAACUCUGUGCCAGCAGCCGCGGUAAUACAGAGGUCUCAAGCGUUGUUCGGAAUCACUGGGCGUAAAGCGUGCGUAGGAUGUUUCGUAAGUCGGGUGUGAAAGGCGCGGGCUCAACCCGCGGAUGGCACAUGAUACUGCGAGACUAGAGUAAUGGAGGGGGAAGCGGAAUUCGUGGUGUAGCAGUGAAAUGCGUAGAUAUCGAGAGGAACACUGGUGGCGAAGGCGGGUUCCUGGACAUUAACUGACGUUGAGGCACGAAGGCCAGGGGAGCGAAAGGGAUUAGAUACCCUGGUAAUC
RNAcentral lists this ribosomal RNA (446 nucleotides) under uncultured bacterium. RNAcentral's name for it is "partial 16S ribosomal RNA". It matches the Rfam family "Bacterial small subunit ribosomal RNA", at positions 338 to 795 of the family's 1533-position model. The record is from RNAcentral.